GGAAUAUUGGACAAUGGGCGAAAGCCUGAUCCAGCAAUGCCGCGUGAGUGAUGAAGGCCUUAGGGUCGUAAAGCUCUUUUACCAGGGAUGAUAAUGACAGUACCUGGAGAAUAAGCUCAGGCUAACUCCGUGCCAGCAGCCGCGGUAAUACGGAGGGAGCUAGCGUGUUUCGGAAUUACUGGGCGUAAAGCGCGCGUAUGCGGCUUAUCAAGUCAGAGGUGAAAUCCCGGGGCUCAACCCCGGAACUGCCUUUGAAACUAGUAGGCUAGAAUCUUGGAGAGGCGUGUGGAAUUCCGAGUGUAGAGGUGAAAUUCGUAGAUAUUCGGAAGAACACCAGUGGCGAAGGCGACUCGCUGGACAAGUAUUGACGCUGAGGUGCGAAAGCGUGGGGAGCAAAC
RNAcentral lists this ribosomal RNA (398 nucleotides) under uncultured bacterium. RNAcentral describes it as "bacterial SSU rRNA". It matches the Rfam family "Bacterial small subunit ribosomal RNA", at positions 358 to 773 of the family's 1533-position model. The record is from RNAcentral.